GGGUCAAAGGGGGAGCGGCGGCGGCGGCGGCGUCCUCGGCCUUGGCGGCCUAGGCCUCGGCCUCUUCUGGUCCUCGUUCUUGUCGUCCACUUAUAGACUGAGCGGGAGAAGAAGUAGGGCCCGCCCGCCUAGGAAGGGGCCGUCGCCGCGGGCUCCCCUUCAGCUGGAGCGGCUCUCCCCCCGGCUGCCCCCGCGAGCCCAGCAGCCGCCGCGCGGCAAGCUGAAGGGCCCGCGGGGCGGCGGCCUAAAGAAGGGCCGCUACGCCCCUCGCCGUGCGGUCCCAAGCGGCGGAACCACGCGGGAGGGGAUGUUCAAAGGACCGAACCGCGACGGUCGGGGUCUUCCCUUCCCAUACUUCGGUUUACGGGUAAAGGGGAGGUAAAUAGUAAGUCUCGUUUGUUCUGACUGAACAGAGGACCAAAUAGUACGUCCAUGGGUCCUCUACUGGUCCUUCUUCUUCUGCCGACGACGAUCUUUACGACGUGUCUCCUUGACGAUAAUGGAAGAGGUUGGUCCCCUCCGUUUGUGAGGAAAGGAGCGAAAGUACUCUUCGGAGCCGUUGCUGUAGUACUGGUUGCUUGGCGGCGGUCCAGUCUUAGUUGGCCACCAACUAGGAGGGCGCGCCAAAUAAGGCGGGCGGGUCGUCCCAGACAAAGCGCAUUAGUUGUACCAUGAGCUAUAAUAGGUUAGUCCAAGAACGAAGCUCUAGGACGUACUCUCCUUAUAGUGUAAGUGGCUUAUGAAGUUGUAAGGCUUCGAGUAACGGUUAUUGGAGUUCCUGUCAAGACGGUUCCCGUGCUUCUCGUUAGACUGCCGAGAGCGUCUCUACGAACUAGCGCAACAUCGUUCUCGUUCGAUGUAUAUACUGUUUUUAUCGUCUCGAUUGGGCCUUAAGUGUGUGAACUAAGUCGUGUAAUUCCCGAUAGCCGUUCCACUAAGUAAGAAAUACUGCUCCAUGGUAUACACAUGAGACGGUGACGGGUUAUCUACAAAAUACAUGCAACGGUACAUACUGAUGUAUUACCUGUAGAACUCCUUGUACCUAGGCCUUCGUAAAGUAAUACAAUAGUCACCAGACGCCAUAGGACUCCUGACCGUGUAGGUCACAGUUGUAUUAUGUAUGGAACGUAAGAUGAUGUCUUCCCCUCCUAUACUGGGCCUGCGUUGUGAAUAAGGACUCUGUUGUCUGGGGGCCUAGCAUGGAGACGCGAAGGUGGCCUUACCAGGUAGCGUACGGGACCUCCUACGCCGACUGGGCUAACGUCUAGUACCCUACUCCAAUUGUUCCGCUCUAAACCCGGUACAAAACAUAAAGGUCAAGUGAGUGAACUACUAAAGUUACCUCUGUUCGGAGGUGAAGGACCCUCGCGAGAGAGUAGAUCUACAAGUCCUAGAAAAAGGAAAAGUACACUCCUUCUUGAUCCACAGUCGUCGAGAUCGAUCACAUGUCAACAUAUAAACAACGGAUCUACUGUACCUUUCGUGUCAUUGAGUGACGGAAACAUAUUGUGUUUACUAAGAAAGAAACCAAACCAAAACGCCGAGUUUGGUUUGCCGACAGGCAUAUCAGCAUAUAGGAAAGUAGAUAUACAG
This 1593-nucleotide ribosomal RNA is filed under the name Triticum aestivum (bread wheat). RNAcentral's name for it is "partial small subunit ribosomal RNA". Lineage: Eukaryota; Viridiplantae; Streptophyta; Magnoliopsida; Poales; Poaceae. The record is from RNAcentral.